Molecule: long non-coding RNA, 2139 nt
Organism: Carassius auratus (goldfish)
Lineage: Eukaryota; Metazoa; Chordata; Actinopteri; Cypriniformes; Cyprinidae
Exons: 3
Source: RefSeq, a predicted model, not a curated record
UAUAAAAUUAGUGCGCAAAAAUAGAGCACUUUAAGUAGCUACAUUAUGAAAGUGGACUUUUUUAACCUGGGACUGCAUAGCAACAUGAUAAAACACCCUGGCAACCACCAAAACACCAAACCAUCCACCCAGCAUGACUACAGUAGCUACUAUCUACUACAUCUUAAUAACUGCAUGCUAAAACACUCAAAAGACCAAAUACACCUAGCCAGCAACUCACAACAUCCUAGCAACUACAGAGCAAUACCCUAGCAACUGUACAGAACGCCAUAACAACUGCACACUAACAUGUUUAAACACGCAGGACACCUUAUCAACUACAAAGAUCCUGGCAGGAACUCAACACCAUAGCAAACUUUUGCAGCAAGCAACAAACCCCUCAGCGACAGCCCAACAACAUGGCACCGUCACUUUUUCUCUGUUUAAUGUAAUUUUGUUUGAUAACACUUCUUUCUGUUUCUCCACAGUGCAAACUCCUCAUUAGUAACAGACAACCUCCACCUGGCUCUAGGUUAUGUGGACACCGAGCGUCCAGGAAUCUCAAGGACGUAUCACUCUCCCAGAUUAAACAAUAGUCACUCUCUGUCAAACUCGCCAUUCCCAAAACUGCCACGCUGGAGGAAAAUGAGCCCCCGCUCGGCCCCCUCUCCGUGCUCGACAGAGAGAGAGAGUGGGGGAGAUCGCUUUAGCCUGAAGGAGAGACCAGAUAGUGAAAUAAUCUUUAAUCUCUGUCCCUUCCAGGCAUCGGCAACACCUGUUUUCCUUGAUGGCGUCGUGCGAGAGGGCAGCGUUCAGCCUUGUUUUAAAGCUGAUUGCCUGACUUAUAAAUAUGAAUGUCUGCUCUGCUCGGCCCGCCUCAAAUCCCCGGUGGUCACUCUGUCUGCUCACACGGCAUCUGAUGAAGCAUUCAAACACAGGGGGACGUAAGUGACAAUGACACUACAAAGCUCAACGAUGAAGCCAGACAGGAUCUCAUUACGGCAUGAGACUGUUAAUAAUAAACUAUCACAGGUCCCAAAUCCACGACGGUAUUAGGUGAAACAGAUUGCUCGGGUCUGAAUUUAAACCCACAGCCCUCCUCGAGGAGAGUCAAGUCCAAUGACAAACAUAAUUCUUCAAGGAAGUUUGGAAAUACUCGGCCAGGAAAAUGGAGGUUGGAGAUGGGGUGUCUCGAAAAGGUCAAGAUUUGCUGUUUGGAAGCCUAGCUCAAACAUAAAUGCUCUGUAAUACCGGUUUGGGUGAUUGCUUUACUCUCUAGACAAUGUCAAUUUUGUGGAAGGAGUUGCAGAUUAAGUCGCCGGCGUGUCAAGGGCCCUCGUGGGGGCCAGUGUCUAGUCUCGGAAACAGGUCCUAAAGCCCAUGCCUAUUACCACAGCCACCCACAGGACAGAUGUUUAAAGCUUAGGGGCGCAAUGGAGAAUAAUAGCACAUUAGAUUCUUAAUGUCUCUGUUGAUGCCGCGCUCAUGUGGGAGGAAAAUCUCUGGUGGUCCAAACACCUUGCCCCUUUUUUUCCUCAUCCCUCUCUUUAUUUUUCUUAGCUCCAUCCAGAUUUGGUUGCUCUGUCUCUCCUCAUGCCACUUGAGCGAUGAAUCCUACCCUGGAGCAAGGCGCCACACACAAUUCAUCAAGAUAUGACCCGCUCAGAGGAUGCACUGGGCUAAUGAACUCAUUAAAAUGUGUGCGCGUGUCGGCGCGUGUGGGCGGAUGUGGAUGUUUGCGCGAGCGCACGCGCGUCUGCCUUGUGGGUUUAAUGUAUAUGUUUGUGUAAAAGGGAAAGAGGGAAAGAUGGCCCGCCGAUGGAAAACCAUUAGCCCCACCUCACAGUUCAGAUUGCAAGCAUUUAUCUUGGCAGAUAUGAUGGCUGUUUAAAGCGGUGAUGUAUAUCUGCUGUGUGCCGGAUUCAAAGGCCGGGAAAACUGACUAUGAAGAAAAUGAUUCAAGAUGCAGAUCCAUCAUUUGAGAAUUGCCUCCUUCAUAGGCGGCGUACUGUACAGGAAAAGCUUUUAGUCCUGUGAUUGUCUUGAUUAUGAGCUUCACUUACGGAAGUGACAUAAUAUUUAUACAUAAUAAUUAUUAGCUAAGAAAUGUGGGUGACAAGCUUUCUGCCAGUUUUGAUAAUGAUUUGUCACAUAUUAAAU